RNAcentral lists this ribosomal RNA (278 nucleotides) under Vibrio parahaemolyticus. RNAcentral's name for it is "partial 23S ribosomal RNA". It matches the Rfam family "Bacterial large subunit ribosomal RNA", at positions 1 to 274 of the family's 2925-position model. Lineage: Bacteria; Pseudomonadati; Pseudomonadota; Gammaproteobacteria; Vibrionales; Vibrionaceae. The record is from RNAcentral.
GUUGUAUGGUUAAGUGACUAAGCGUACACGGUGGAUGCCUUGGCAGUCUCAGGCGAUGAAAGACGUAGUAACUUGCGAUAAGCCCAGAUUAGGUAGUAACAACCAUUUGAGUCUGGGAUUUCUGAAUGGGGAAACCCACUUACAUAAGUAAGUAUCCUUACCUGAAUACAUAGGGUAAGGAGGCGAACCGGGGGAACUGAAACAUCUAAGUACCCCGAGGAAAAGAAAUCAACCGAGAUUCCGAAAGUAGCGGCGAGCGAAAUUGGACUAGCCCUUAA